Molecule: long non-coding RNA, 27582 nt
Filed under: Solanum lycopersicum (tomato)
Lineage: Eukaryota; Viridiplantae; Streptophyta; Magnoliopsida; Solanales; Solanaceae
Description: long non-coding RNA (SLYC_LNC000397)
Source: RNAcentral
UUUCUCAAAAACCUCCGCAUACAUCUUUGAACAGAUUUCCUGCAAAUAAGGAGAAACUUAUAUAAAAAUUAGCACAAAAUGGCUUUUGAACACACUAAACUUAAGGAAAAAGUAUUAAUAAUACCGUGAAACCACUAUAUAUCAACACCCUCACCUUAAAUUCGUUGUUUGUCCUCAAGCGUCGCACUAUGACUCAAUACAAAAUCUUUGUACAAUAGUAUCCAAGUUUUAUCCUUUGCAAUUAUUUGGCUAUCAAUCCUGAUUAUUCUCAUCAUAUCUAUGCAUGAUAUCACUAUUAGGCUUGAAUUAUGUGUGAUCAGUAUAUGACACAGAUUCACCAUGUACUAACACCUAUCAUCUUCAAUUUCUCACCGAGAUGCUAAUAUUUCUGGUAUUGCAACUAUUGUCCUCACGUUGAAACCAAAUCCUCAUUUUUCACACAAUGAUUUCAAUUUGAGUAUAAGGAUUACUUUUCAACACUCGCUCUCAUAACAAAGUCACACUCAUUCAUACCUAUUGCCAUAAGCUUGCCCUUAUUUUCACUGCCUUAAGUUCGCUGUACAACCCUUAGGAUCACGAUAGGACUUUCUUAGCUUGUAACAUAGGCUUAGGGUCAGGUAGGGUAUAUUUAGGUAUACUUUAGUGACUUUUUUCUCUCCUUGACAUAUCGGCUAAACAUACCAUUUUCUAUCCCUUUAUCUUGCCCAGUUUCUCCUAUUCUUUCACCUUGCUAUUUUCUCUUCUUUCUUCAUUUGUGUACGUGACUCUCUUCUUUUCUUGCCUGUAUUUCUUGUAUAUUUUUCUUUUUUUACUUAUCUUUCAACCAAUUCUUGAUUCACUUUACUUUUUUUCUUUCUUUCUCUUUGUUCUUUUAACCCCACUUUCUAGAGCAUUCCUCAUAAUAGCCACCCUCAACUCAUGGAUCUGCCAUGAGUCAAGGUACACAAUACCCAAAGUUGGGUCAGGGCCAUAACGAAGGUUGUUUACUGCAUUUGCCACCCUCAACUUAUGCUUUUUGCAUAAGCUGAGGUGCACAUGUCCAAGGAGGGACCAGGGCCAACACAUUGUUCCCAGAAAAGAUCAGUUGGGGUGAAAAAGAAAGGUCUAAUUUAAGCUCAAAUCAUUUGGAUCAGAGAAGGAUAAAUUUCAUUUGGUUUUUUUUUCAGGCUAAAAAUGGGCUAUAUUGAAUAAGGGCCAAUGAUCCUUUCCUAAUUGUCUAUUACAACUUACUUUUAGCAGGACUAACCAGACAAAUUCUAGCUCAGUACAAAUAGUGGAUUAUUCAAAUCCUCCUUACACUCGCUUUACAUCUCAUCACUCUACCAGAUUAUCAGACACCUAGUUCGAAUUUUUGACUUAGGGUAAUGCAAUGGUGUACCUCUAUGUCAUGCUUAGAGCAACACAUUUAUUAGUUACUAUGCCUAUUCGUGCAUCAUUUUCCAGUUUAUUAGGAUAUAAUUUUUGCCAUCAUGCUCAAGAAUUAAACUAUGUACAAAAGAAAUAGACAUGCCGGUUCAACAGAAAAAGUAAUCAGUCUUUUGGGUAAAAAGAACACAUGCAAGAAAACCCCAAAAAAGGAUAGUGAAUUAGGCUACUCAGACUUCACCCUAGCACUCACUUUCCAUUUACCCCACCCCCAACAAAAAAACGUGCAAUUGUUCCCAAUGAAUAAAAAAAAUUAAACACUAGAGUGGUAGGCGAAGCAAGCAUGUGGCGCAAAGCACCGUCGAUCAGCAAGCUUGUGGGUCCGGUUUCCCGGAACCCACGUCCUCUGCAAUCUGGACACCCUCAGUGGUGUCCUAAAAAACAACUGCACUAUCAACAGUACCUCCCGCUAUCUCCACAGUUCGGGAGCUAGACGCCCCAGCCGCAAACUCUCCUGCUCUCAUCUAUUGGGCCGCCUCCUCAGCAAGUGAGGCUCUCCUUGCAGCCUCCAUCUUACGGUGCUCAUUCUUCCGUGCUCGCGCCUCGUCCUCUGCUCGACCCCUACGCCUCUUGGCAUGCUCUCGAGGGGGAGGUGGUGGAAUCUCUGAGGUGGUGAAUAGGGCCGCCAACAGUGUGUCUUCAGCAGGCUCAACAGAAGAGGCCUCAGACUCAGGCACCCUAAUCUCUAAGAUCGUGUCGAUACCUGGUGAAGACUGUCGACCGCAGCCUGAAGAGUCGACACAUCCACCGGAAGAGAUGGACGGGCUAGUACCCGCAACUCAAAAGCGUCCAAGCGCUGGUGAACCAUAACGAUCUUCGGCUCUGUAUACUGGACCAUUUUUCGCUCAAAGCAAUCUUCUAUCUCGGUAUUGGAACUCUUCAUCCACGGCUGGAUAUGAUGCAGAAGUGUAGCCAUUUGCGCCUCUAAUUUUUGGACCCUAGCAAGCGGGACCAGCGCAGGUAGAGGGGCUGUGCGAGAAGAGCUCGGGGCAGUGCUACUACCCGGGAUAGACUCGAUCGGGGUAGUGUCAGUGUAUGCCGCCUGCGUAGCCAUGCGGGCCUGGGCUAGCAUAUCAGCAAGAUCAUCAGCAAGUGGGGGCAGCUCUAGACGGGGCCCUCUGCGUGGAGCCAACUCAUUGGCCUCAUCUCUAUUGAGGACGACAUCAACAGAGCCCCGAGGGGUCUUGAGCUGAUCAACGUGCCAUAUAGGCACACCUACAAACCUGCAGAGAGAAAAGAUCAUGCACGGGAAAGGGAAGUAGUUGUGACCUUGAAAGCCCUCUCGUGUAUGACUGGCUGUAGAAGCCACGCGAAAUCCACCUCGAACCCGGCUAUCAUCACCGCCAUCAACACUGCUCGAUCCCAUGUAACGAUAUUAUCUGCGGUUGUGAGGGAAAGGCAGUGGCGGACAAUAAACCACAAGAACUUUGUCGUGAAAGUUAGGUUGGCUUUCUUGAUGGCCCCGUAUGGCUCGAUUACCCAGUCGGCAUCCUCUCCAUCAACUUACAGGUGAAGGGCCAUCCACCUCUUGGUGAUCUCUCUCAGCGAUGGCUCGCGUAGGAAAUGUCCAUCUUUAACAAGAUGCCAUCGGUAGUAAAACUCGGCAGUGAAAGGGGUCCGAGUAGCAUCAACACCCUCGCCGUAUAGAAACCGGGGGAUGGCAGGCAAGGAAAUAUCAACCUGAACGCCCCGUACUCGGACCUACUUCAGUGGGGCCUGUUUGGUGGGGGCAGCCCGCCUAUCAAUCUGUGAUCGAAGAGUCGCUACGUAGGAUGCAUAGAACUCUCGGACCCUUUCUUCACUAUAACAUCCCAACGAACGUGCUGUCCACUCCAGGCAAUAUCUGGUGAAGAGAUUCUGCAUCUCAGGCAUCGUUGGGAGACUCUCUGUAAGGACCCGCCGCUCCAAUGUGAGUGUUCGAGUCAUAACUCCUUUGUCAUUCAGGAACUUGGAGUCGGAGUAGACUUGAAAUUACUCGUCGACACACCACCGGUUGGGCUGGUCAGUAGUUGGGGUGAGGGCUCGAGCGGGUUAACCUGAUGUGGAUUCCGAAUUGCCAGCCUCAUCACACAAGGCCGACGCUGCAGCAGUGGCGGGUGCGGGAACCUCAGCAGAGCCGAAGGCUUCCUCCGACCACAAAACUCCUAAGGAGCCAACCGCUCCUUCUUCAUUGGUGGUUGACCCAGAAGGUGUGCCGGUCAGUGUGUGCUCUUCAUCAGACUGGGAGGCAGUGACUACGCCGAAAGCCACCUUUUUGGGUGUGGCUCUUGUGGCACGUGAAGCACGGGAAGGGGUGGAAGUGCCUGGGGGAACGUACUCGGGGUCACGCUCAUCAUCAGAGCCAACGACCAUGCGGGUAGACAGGGCGACAGACUUCGAUCACCCACGUGCAUACACUUGACCUUUUUUAGGUGCCAUAGUAGAUAGGAACUGUAAAGGAUCAAUAUUAGUACGAGUAGUGGCAAACAAGACAAGAAAAACCACACAAAAAAAUUAAAAUAAAAUGACAUUUCUAUAGUAACAAUGACACACGACGGGCCUGGUGACGGCUCGUCGUGAAUAUGGCAGACCGUCAUGGGGUCCGUCCUGUCUUCCUUAGACUAUGUAUAUAUGGAGAACCCUGAAGGAGAGUCUCUAACAAGUAUGACGGUAUGUGCAGGACGGACCAUUACAGGUACGACGGUCCGUCGUAGGUGUCCGUCAGAGGACACUUGAAAAAAUAUGGAGACCCUUAGGAGAGGGGACUCUGACCGUCAUUAUGGUCAUUCAGGACAGACCGUCGUGGGUAUGACGGUCCGUCAUAGGUGUCCGUCAAAGGACACUUAGAAAAAUGGAGAGAGACCCUUUGGAGAGGGGUCUCUGGCCGUCAUAACAGUCAUGCAGGAUGGACCGUCGUGGGUAUGACGGUCCGUCAUACUCGUCGUGGGUAUGACGGUCCGUCAAACUUACUUCUCAAAUAAGAAGUAAAGCGGUCGUGUCAAGUAAAUAACCCCAACUAGUGAGGUUGGGAUCGUUCCCACGAGGAAAAUAGUUUAGACUUAACUUUAACUUAUUAUUACUAUUAUUCGGUCAAUUACUUCCUUGGAAAGUAAAAACAAUAAAAGGGGGGUUUCUAUUUCUAAAUGAAUGAAAAUAACUAACGAAAUUUAAAGAGACACUUAACAGCUUCGAAUGUUGGAGUUUAAUCAAUUAAUCAAAGUAACUUGGGUUUACGUGUUCCCCACAGGUUCAUAACUUGAUAAUUCUAACUAUAACAAUUCUUUCCUAGUAUCUUGCCUGCAAAAUGAUAAGUUAUGUAUUACUAAAUCCUUGGUUCGGUAUCUAGAAAAUCUCACUCCGCACCUUAGUACGGCUACGUGUGUUGCUAUCCUAACCCUUAUCUUUACCUCAUAUUAAGCAUUGUAUUCAAUAUUUGACUAAGUUAUUACCUCGUACCAAUCAAUACUAGCCUAUUAGAUAGUAUACACUAAAUCUAUGUUGAUAAUUCUUUUCCUAUUAUCUACCUCCUUGGUCAGGCAAGUAGCAUCAAGGAGAUUUCUAACGUUGGUCAUCAGUUAAAAAGACUUCUAAGCGAAAGAAUUAUUAAUAUAUGCAAGACACUAUUCUAGAAUUGUUAUUGUCGUUAGGUUUUAUCUCAUUAUUUGCCUAUGGUUCCCACAACCCUAGUUAUAGAGUUUAGUUACCCAUAGUCAUAAUCACAAUAUUCCAAUAUAUUAUAUAAGAAUCCAUGCACUUACUUCAAUGAGAAAGAUUAAAAUCUGAAAGUUUUCUUGAUUAAUCACCAAAAAUCACCAACAAUCACUUGCAAGAAUCUCAAAGUAAUCAAGAAUCUCACAAAAAGUCUAAUGAUAAUCAAAAGUCUAACACUAAUACAUAGAGUCUAACAAUGAUUCAGAUUGUAACAUAAAAAACGAGGUUUUUCGAAUUAUUUAUAGAAAAUAAAAACCUAAUUAAACAAGGACUCUAUUUGCUAGAAAUAUGUCAAAACGCGGCUGGGUCGACGGACCUCGCGACGAAUCGUCGUGGUCACGACGGACCGUCAUGGACUCCGUCGUCCCAUACUUGAUGAAAUUUCUUCUGCUGCUCUCUUCAUUACCCUAGACGAGAAGUAUGAUGGACCGUCAUAGGCAAAACGGUCCGUCGAGGUUCUUCGUUCCAAAACACUUGAACUCUUGGAAUAUGGAUACUAGGAUUACUUCUCUGAACUUCAUGACGAACCUGCAGGACGGACCGCCAUAGACAUGACAGACCGUCAUGGACUCCGUAACCCCACACUUGGUCAGAAUUCCCCAUCUUCCUUCAGCAGCUGCACUACGCUGCCACCUACGGACCGUCACAAGCAUGACGGACCGUCAAAAGCUCCAUAGGUGGUCUCUUCUGCAUUUCUUCGCUCAAAAACCUCUACAUACAUAUUUGAACUGAUUUCCUGCAAACAAGGAGAAACUUAUAUAAAAAUUAGCACAAAAAGGCUUUUGGACACACUAAACUUAAGGAAAAGUAUUAAUAAUAUCGUGAAACCACGGUAUAUCAGAAGUAGGUUAUGGUUUAUUUCUAUUUGAUAGAUAAACUCUAAAUAGCGAUUGAUAUGUAUUGAGUGAUAUUGUAAAGUCUCAUAUGUACUUGAUUGUGUGGUUGUAUGUUUUGAUUGUGUGGUUUGUGGUUGGCCUGAAAUUAUGAGACUAUUGAAUUUUUAAUCUUGAACCCUCUCUAUUAAAAUGACGCCUUGAAUAAAUAAGGCUUGCUGAAAUAAAAUAAUGAGAUAAUUGGAUCGGAGUGUCACAUUCUGACACGAUAUUAUGGGAUUGGAGUGUCACGUUCCGACACGGUAUUAUGGAAUCGGAGUGUCACGUUUCGAAAAAUUAACAUUAAAGUCAAGGAAUCUUGAAGUAACUUAAUAUAAUUAAUCUCAAGGAACUUAUUUUCCAAAUGAGUAUGGUGGUGGAGGCAUGAGUCCUCACAGGUGUGCUUGAUGUUGUGAUUUAUGGUGUACCUAUUAUGUUGUUGUUGUCAACGGUUCAUGUGUUUGUUGCUUGCCACCUUGUCACGACAUAAAACGAGCCACGAGUGGCACCCACACUUAUCCUACUAUGUGAGCGAACCAACCAAUCUAAACCCCAACAUUUCAACCAUAAUAAACAGAAUAUAAUGCGGAAUACUUAAAACUCAUUAAUAUAACCAAUAAAUAACUUCAAAAAUUUAAUACUUAUUAUUCCCAAAAUCUGGAAGUCAUCACCACAAGAACAUUCUAUCCUCAAAUUACUAAAUCUAAGAGUGUCUAGGAAGCUAAAAUAAGAAAACAGAUGGUCCAUGUCCGAACUUCAAGGACAUCAAGACAUGAAUGAGAGAGAAUCCAGUCCGAGCUAGGAACAAUAGCUCUCCCUGAAAUCUGAUUAUGCUGAGGUUUGGCUAGAGUUGCGGUUGAGUUGAAGUCGACGGUACGUUUGCUGCACUCCACAAAUAAUAAAGAAGAAAAUUACAAGUCGGGGUCAGUACAAGGCAUAAGUACUGAGUAGGUAUCAUCAAACAACUCAAAAUAGAAAGCAACAUAUACCGAAUAAUAACAUAAAACCAACAAAAUACUUAACAGGUGACAACAACAAGUACCAUAACCAUUGGCCACAACCCAAGCACCUCUAUGAGGACUCAAGCCUCCACACCAUGCUCACUUAGGAAUUAGGUUCUUUAAAUCUGAGUAUAUUAACAUAAUUCAAGAUUCAUUCCCAUUACUAUCCUGGUGUCGGAACGUGACACUCCGAUCCCCUCAAUAUUCAUUCAUCUUACUAUCCUGGUGUCGGAACGUGACACUCCGAUCCCCUACUAUACUGGUGUCGGAACGUGACACUCCGAUCUCCUCAAAAUCCUGGUGUCGGAACGUGACACUCUGAUCCCCUAAUAUCCUGGUGUCGGAACGUGACACUCCGAUCUCCUCAAAAUCCUGGUGUCGGAACGUGACACUCCGAUCCCCUAAUAUCCCUUCUCUAGUACUUCCAGCCUCAUAAAGUCAUUAGCCAGAGUCUGGACCUCUAUAGCCAAUGGGCGUCUAGAAACCUGUAAGUGAGCUAGACUUCCCAUGCUCCUUGUCUUUCUACUUAAAGCAUCUGCCACAACAUUAGCUUUUCCCGGAUGGUACAAGAUAGUGAUAUGAUAGUCCUUCAGUAGUUCCAUCCACCUUCUCUAUCUAAAAUUCAAAUCUUUCUGAGUAAAGACAUAUUGUAAACUACGAUGAUCCGUAUAGACUUCACAAUUAACUCCAUAUAAAUAAUGUCUCCAUUGCUUUAAUGCAAACACUACUGCAACUAACUCCAAAUCGUGGGUCGGAUAAUUACGUUCAUGCACCUUUAAUUACCUUGAAGCAUAAGCAACUACAUCCUUCUCUUGGAUUAGCACUGCACCCAAACCAAAAUAGGAUGCAUCACAAUAAACAACGAAAUUCUUACCUUCCACUGGCAGGGUAAGAAUUGGUGUAGUAGUCAACAAGGUCUUGAGCUUUUGAAAGCUUUCUUCACACUCGUCCGACCAUUCAAAUGGAACACUCUGCUUAGUCAAGUUUGUCAAUUGGGAAGCAAUAGAAGAAAAUCCCUUGACAAAUCGAUGGUAGUAGCUAGCUAAACCAAUAAAGCUCCUUACCUCUGUGACAUUAGUAGGUAUUACCCAACUCUUCACUGCUUCAAUCUUAGAAGGAUCCACCAUCACUCCAUCCUUAUAAACCACAUGCCCAAGAAGGACACUGAAUCUAACCAAAACUCACACUUGGAGAAUUUGUCAUAAGUCUUUUUCUCCCUCAACAUUUCCAAUAUAAUUCUCAAGUGCUCCUCAUGUUCUUUACUGCUCUUCGAGUAAACCAGUAUAUCAUCAAUGAAUACAAUGACAAAGAGAUCCAGAUAGGGCUUAAAAAUCCCGUUCAUCAAGCUCAUGAACGCAGCAGGGGCAUUCAUAAGCCCAAAAGACAUUACUAAGAACUCGUAAUGCCCAUACCUGGUCCGAAAAGCAGUCUUGGGCACAUCCGUUGCCCGUAUUUCAAUUGAUGAUAACCAGAUCUCAAAUCAAUUUUUGAGAAGGUACAAGCACCUUGUAACUGAUCGAACAAAUCAUCGAUGCGAGGAAGAGGAUACUUGUUCUUAAUGGUUACCUUAUUCAGUUGCCUGUAGUCUAUGCACAUACGAAAACUUCCAUCCUUCUUCUUCACAAACAAAACAGGAGCACCCUAAGGAGAUGCACUUGGUCUAAUGAGGCCUUUGCUUAACAACUCUUGAAGUUGGGCCUUUAACUCUCUUAACUCAGCAGGAGCCAUUCUAUAAGGGGGUAUGGAAAUGGGGCGAGUGCCCGUCUCCAGAUCAAUAUUGAAAUCAAUAUCUCUAUCCGGUGGCAUACAAGGAAGGUCAGCAGGAAACAUAUCUAAAAACUCACGGACUAUCGAAACAGACUCAAUUGAAGGUACUUGGGUAGUAUCAUCCUUGAGGUGUGCCAAGAAAGCUAGACACCCUUUACUAACCAUUCUCUUAGCAUGAAGAAAGGAGAUGAUAAGAACUGGAGUGGAAGUGUAGUCACCCUCCCACACUAACGGAUAUGUCCCAGGCUUGGCCAACGUUACAAUUUUAGCAUUGCAAUCUAAGAUUGCAAAAUUUGGAGAAAGCCAUGUCAUACCCUGAAUUACAUAGAAGUCAACCAUUUCUAGGAUAACCAAGUCUACAUGAGUAUUGCUCCCCACAAAAGUCACAAGACAAAACCUAUACACCUUCUCAAGUAUCACAGACACACCCACCUGAGUAGAAACACGAAUAGGCAUGUCAAGCAAAUCACAAUGUAAAUCAAAACCAGUAGCAAAUGAGGAAGAUACGUAUGAAAAUGUGGAUCCAGGAUCAAAUAAUACAGAAGCCAUGCAAUCACAAACCAAAAGAUUACCUGUGAUAACAGCAUUAGAUGUCUCCGCUACAGACCUAUAACAAUGGGUCCUAUCACCUGCCUGUCCGUUGCCCCUACCAUGUUGUGCUGCAGUAGUUCCAACUUGUCCGCCACCUCGGCUAGUUUGGUGACCACCAUUACCUUGACCAACACGUCCUACAGAAUGGCGGCCUCUCCCAUGACCACCCCUACCUCUAACUAUUGGGGGUCUGUAACUCUGUUUUGGACAAUACCUCCUAAUAUGUCCCGUCUCCCCACAUCCAUAACACUCUUUGGAUUCAAGCAUAGGUCUUUGUGAGAAUGAUGAAGUCUGGGGGUCACCUCCAAACUCAGAGAAAUGUUGACCGGUCUGCGGUGGACCCCCAGCUACAGCCUGCAGCGAAGACUGAAUAGGUCGGGCUGGGUAACCUCCUGAACCCUGCCCUCUGGAGUAAGAAUCAUUAAACUCACCUCCUUUAUGAAACUUCUUAGAUGUCGAUGCCAUGGUGAAGUCGUCUGGCUUCACUCCCUCCACUUCUAUCACAAAAUCUACCACCUCCUGAAAGGAUUUUACUGUAGUAGCUACCUGUAAGGCUGGAAUCUGCAAAUCUUAACUCAAUCCCUUCACAAAACAGUGAAUCCACUAUUGUGGACUGAAGCAAAGCUGGGUGGCAUACCUGGAUAAUGCACGAAACUUAGCCUCAUACGCAGUAACUCCUGCCUUGCCCUAGGCUCAGGAACUCAUCUCUUCUCCUAUCCCUCAAUGUUCAGGCUAUAUACUUCUCCAUAAAUAAGCUAGAGAAUGAUGCCCAAGUCAUGGGUGGUGCCUGUGCUAGUUGACACUCAAUAUACGAUCGCCAUCACAUUUUGGCAUUUCCCUGAAACUGAUAGGUUACGAACUAAACACCGAAUUGUUCCACUAUGCCCAUCUUAUGUAGCAGCUCAUGAUAAUUAACCAGAAAGUCAUGGGCAUCCUCAGAUUCAACACUCUUGAAGACUGGAGGUUUCAAUUUCAAGAACUUACUGAAAAGUUUGUGCUGAUCACUUGUCAUUAUAGGCCCUGUAGUCAACCGAGGAAACGUGCCUAUUUCCAAUGAGGCAUCCAUGUGGGGAGCCACAGCAGCUGCAUGUUGUACUCCUGGAACCUGAGGUGCUGGUGCAGAAAAUACUGGAGGUGUCUGGCCCUGAUCGGAUAACCCGCUAAGAUAAUCAAGAACCUGAUUAAUCAUCUAUGGGGUAGGUUGGAGUGGUAAUUCCUCAUUCUGCACUUGUUCAUUCUCCCCUUCCUCACCCUCUCUUAAUACUUCCUCAGUCGGUGGAGGAGUCACCGCCCUAGUACUAGCUGGGCCAGGUGCCUGUCCUCUUCCUCUAGAGGACGUCCUCCUGCGACCUCCACCAAGGCCUCUUGCCACUACUCCUCUUCGAGCUACAGCCUUAGUGGCUGGUUCAGACGCAUCUUGUCUUGCCGGUGUUGGUGUUGGCGAGGUUGUUGAUCUAGUUCUAACCAUCUGCGAAAUAGAGUGAAGAUGGUCAGAUAUCAAUUUGUAUCACCUAGAUACAAAUUGGAUCCACGUAAUAGCAUGAAAGAAAGAAAAAAUGGAAUUUUCCUAAAGUCUUAUAGCAUCUCAAAGAAAAGUAAAGGCGUCCCCCUACCAUUCCUCAAGACUGUACUAGGUUCGUUCUUGUAUGAUGAGACCAACGAACCUAAUGCUCUGAUACCAAGUUUGUCACGAUCCAAAACGAGCCAAGAGUGGCACCCACACUUAUCCUACAAUGUGAGCGAACAAACCAAUAUAAACCCCAACAUUUCAACCAUAAUAAACCGAAUAUAAUGCGGAAGACUUAAAACUUAUUAAUAUAACUAAUAUAUAACUUCGAAAAUUUAAUACUUAUUAUUCCCAAAAUCUGGAAGUCAUCACCACAAGAAAAUUCUAUCCUUAAAUUACUAAAUCUAAGAGUGUCUAGGAAGCUAAAAUAAGAGAAUAGAUGGUCCAUGUCCGAACUUCAAGGACAUCAAGACAUGAAUGAGAGAGAGAAUCCAGUCCAAGCUAGGAACAAUAGCUCACCCUGAAAUCUGAUUAUGCUGAGGUCUGGCUUGAGUUGCGGUUGAGUUGAAGUCGACGGUACGUUUGCUGCACUCCAAAAAUAACAAAGAAGAAAAUUACAAGUAGGGGUCAGUACAAGGCACAAGUAUUGAGUAGGUAUCAUCGAACAACUCAAAAUAGAAAGCAACAUAUACCGAAUAAUAACAUAAAACCAACCAAAUACUUAACAGGUGACAACAACAAGUACCAUAACCAUUGGCCACAACCCAAGAACCUCUAUGAGGACUCAAGCCUCCACACCAUACUCACUUAGGAAUUAGGUUCUUUAAAUCUGAGUAUAUCAACAUAAUUCAAGAUUCAUUCCCUUUACUAUCCUGGUGUCGGAACGUGACACUUCGAUCCCCUCAAUAUUCAUUCAUUGUACUAUCCUGGUGUCGGAACAUGUAACUCUGAUCCCCUACUAUCCUGGUGUCGGAACGUGACACUCCGAUCUCCUCAAAAUCCUGGUGUCGGAACGUGACACUCCGAUCCUCUAAUAUCCUGGUGUCGUAACGUGACACUACGAUCCCCUACUACUAUGUGACUGUUCGUGACACCCGAUCCUUUAAUUCCUGGUGUCGGUACGUGACACCCGAUCCAAUAACCUCAUUCUUUUAGUUCAUCAAGCCUUCUUUUAUAUCAAGGCAUCAUCAUUAAUAGAGAGGUUUUAAGGUUUUUAAGAUUCCACAGUAUCAUCAUUAUAAACCAUCAAUAUUUACAUAAUCACAGGAUGCAACAUCACAAUUAAGCAUAUAGAAGACUUUACAAUGCCAUCCAAUACAUAUCAAUCACUAUUUAGAGUUUACUAUGAAAUAGCAUAAACCAUAACCUACCUCCACCAAAGAACCCUGAUCAAGCAAUCUACUUCUCCAAUGCUUUGCUUUCCUCUUCGUUUCUCCCUUCUCUCGCUCGUUCUCCCCUCUUUUCUUUCUCCUCUUUCAAAUUCCUUUAUUCAAACUCUUUUUCUUUUACCCUAAUUACCAUAUAAUUAAGUAUAAAAGAUGAUAAAAGUAACCCACUAUUUAUUUCAAAGUUAUCUCCUUUAACCCCUAAGUAAAUAAGUUAUUAAACUUACCCACUAAUUUCAUAUAGUUUGAAAUAAAUAGUCCAAAACGCCCCUUAAAAACAUUAGCAGAAAUCUGACCCAGGUGGAAUUAUGCCACUCGUGACGGCCCGUCGUGCCUGUGACGGUCCGUCCUACAGGGUCGUCACAGAGUUCAGGGAGUCAAAACAGUAAGGGGUCUUGUGACGGUCCGUCGUGCCUACGAUGGUCCGUGCUGCUAUUCUAUCGCGAAUUUCAGAGAGUUGUUCUCAGUACCCAAAUUUCUAGAGUCCAAGUAUUUUGGAACGAGACCCCCUCGACGGUCCGUCGUGCCCAUAACGGUCCGUCAUGGGAUCCGUCGACCCAGACAGCUAUUACCAGAAAUAAACUCUACUGCUCAGAACGACUAAACAGGUCGUUACAAUAGAUACCAAUUUACCCAUCGUUCGUCCUUGAACGAACACAAGAAGAAAAGUAAGGGCGAGAAAGAGUACCUGAAUCUGUGAAAAGGUGUGGAUAUCUUUCUUGCAUAUUAGCCUCCUUCUCCAAAGUGGACUCUUCAACUGGCCGAUUCUUCCAUAGAACCUUGAUGGAUGCAAUCUCCCUUGAUCUCAACUUGCGGACUUCUCUAUCUAAAAUGGCAACAGGUUCCUCCUCAUAAGAUAAAUUUUCAUCAAGAAGAAAUGAAUCCCAACGCAUGAUGUAGUUUCCAUCCCCAUGGUAUCUUUUGAACACAGACACAUGAAAUACUGGGUGCACUCCUGAGAGUCCUGGGAACAAGGCUAAUUCAUAAGCUACCUCCCCCACGUGCUUCAGAACUUCAAAUGGACAAAUGUACCUCGGACUAAGCUUACCUCGCUUACCGAACCGCAUCAUCCCUUUCAUGGGUGAAACCUUCAGCAAAGCUUGCUCACCCUCCAUAAACUCCAAGUCUCUAAUCUUUCGAUGUGCAUAUUCUUUCUGCCUACUUUGAGCCGCUAGAAGCUUUUCCUGAAUGCAUUUCACUUUAUCUAACGACUCCCUCAGAAGUUCAGUACCCCAAGGUCUAACCUCAAAUGCAUCAAACCACCCAAUGGGAGACCUACAUCUUCUACCAUACAGUGCCUCGAAUGGGGACAUAUCAAUACUUGAAUGAUAGUUAUUGUUGUAUGAGAACUCUGCUAAGGGUAAGAAGUUAUCCCAAUGACCACCAAAUUCUAUAACACAUGCACGAAGCAUAUCCUCCAAAACCUGAAUCGUUCGCUCAGACUGACCAUCGGUCUGAGGGUGAAAUGCAGUACUAAGAUCCAACCUAGUACCUAAUUCAUCAUGCAAUGUUUUCCAAAAUUUAGAAGUAAACUACAUACCUCUAUCUGAUAUGAUGGAAAGUGGAACUCCAUGCAAUCGAACAGUUUCUGAGAUGUAAAGUUUGGCUAACUUCUCUGUAUUGUAAGUCACCUUGACCGGAAUUAAGUGAGCAGAUUUAGUUAAUCUGUCAACAAUUACCCAAAUAGAAUAAAACUUACCCAAUGUCUUUGGAAGACCAACCACAAAGUCCAUUGCAAUUCUCUCCCACUUCCAUUCAGGAAUGGGCAUUCUCUGAAGGGUCCCUCCGGGUCUCUGGUGUUCAUACUUUACCUGCUGACAAUUCGUGCAUUGGGCGAAAAAUCAAUGAUGUCACACUUCAUCCUAUUCCACCAAAAAUGUUGCUUUAGGUCGCGAUACAUCUUGGUUGCACCAGGAUGUAUAGAAUACCUUGAACUAUGAGCCUCCAUAAGAAUAGUGUGAAUCAAAUCAUCGACGCGGGGUACACAUACCCUCUCCUAUUCUCAAAACACCUUCCUCAUCAAUUUUUGCUUCUUUAGACUCUCCUCGCAAUACCUUAUCUUGAAUCCGGAUCAGUUUCUCAUCAGUAAACUGCUUUCCCUUAAUCUUGUCAAGAAAGGAAGAUCUUGCCUCCAUACAGGCAAAAAAUCCUCCCUUCUCUAGUACUUCCAGCCUCAUAAAGUCAUUAGCCAGAGUCUACACCUCUCUAGCCAAUGGGCGUCUAGAAAACUGUAAGUGAGCUAGACUUCCCAUGUUCCCUGUCUUUCUACAUAAAGUAUCUACCACAACAUUAGCUUUUCCUAGAUGGUACAAGAUAGUGAUAUCAUAGUCCUUCAGUAGUUCCAUCCACCUCCUCUGUAUCAAAUUCAAGUCUUUCUGAGUAAAGACAUAUUGUAAACUACGAUGAUCGGUAUAGACUUCACACUUAACUCCACAUAAAUAAUGUCUUCAUUGCUUUAAUGCAAACACUACUGCAGCUAACUCCAAAUUGUGGGUCGGAUAAUUACGUUCAUGCACCUUUAAUUGACUCGAAGCAUAAGCAAUUACAUUCUUCUCUUGGAUUAGCACUGCACCCAAACCAGAAUAGGAUGCAUCACAAUAAACAAUGAAAUUCUUACCUUCCACUGGCGGGGUAAGAAUUGGUGCAGUAGUCAACAAGGUCUUGAGCUUCUGAAAGCUUUCUUCACACUCGUCUGACCAUACAAAUGGAACACUCUGCUUAGUCAAGUUUUUCAAUUGGGAAGCAACAGAAAAAAAUCCCUUGACAAAUCGAUGAUAGAAGCUCCUUACCUCCGUGACAUUAGUAGGUCUUACCCAACUCUUCACUUCUUCAAUCAUAGAAGGAUCCACCAUCACUCCAUCCUUAGAAACCACAUGCCCCAAGAGGGACACUGAAUCUAACCAAAACUCACACUUGGAGAAUUUGGCAUAAAGCUUUUUCUCCCUCAAAACUUCCAAUACAAUUCUCAAGUGAUCCUCAUGUUCUUUCCUGCUCUUCGAGUAUACCAGUAUAUCAUCAAUGAAUACAAUGACAAAGAGAUCCAGAUAGGGAUUAAAAAUCCCGUUCAUCAUGCUCAUGAAGGGGCAUUCGUAAGCCCAAAAGACAUUACUAAGAACUCGUAAUGCCCAUACCUGGUACGAAAAGCAGUCUUGGGAACAUCCGUUACCCGUAUUUUCAAUUGAUGAUAACCAGAUCUCAAAUCAAUUUUUGAGAAGGUACAAGCACCUUGUAACUGAUCGAACAAAUCAUCGAUGCGAGGAAGAGGAUACUUGUUCUUAAUGGUUACCUUAUUAAGUUGCCUGUAGUCUAUGCACAUCCGAAAACUUCCAUCCUUCUUCUUCACAAACAAAACAGGAGCACCCCAAGGAGAUUCACUUGGUCUAAUGAAGCCUUUGCUUAACAACUCUUGAAGUUGGGCCUUUAACUCUCUUAACUCAGCGGGAGCCAUUCUAUAAGGGGGUAUGGAAAUGGGGCGAGUGCCCGGCUCCAGAUCAAUACAGAAAUCAAUAUCUCUAUCCGGUGGCAUACCAGGAAGGUCUGCAGGAAACAUAUCUAGAAACACACGGACUAUCAAAACAGACUCAAUUGAAGGUACUUGGGUAGUAUCAUCCCUGAGGGGUGCCAAGAAAGCUAGACACCCUUUACUUACCAUUCUCUUAGCAUGAAGAAAGGAGAUGAUACGAACAGGAGUGGAAGUGUAGUCACCCUCCCACACUAACGGAUAUGUCCCAGGCUUGGCCAACGUUACAGUUUUAGCAUUGCAAUCUAAGAUUGCAAAAUUUGGAGAAAGCCAAGUCAUACCCUGAAUUACAUCGAAGUCAACCAUUUCUAGGAUAACCAAGUCUACAUGAGUAUUGCUCCCCACAAAAGUCACAAGACAAGACCUAUACACCUUCUCAGCUAUCACAGACUCACCCACCGGAGUAGAAACACAAAUUGGCAUGUCAAGCAAAUCACAAUGUAAAUCAAAACCAGUAGCAAAUGAGGAAGAUACAUAUGAAAAUGUGGAUCCAGGAUCAAAUAAUACAGAAGCCAUGCAAUCACAAACCAAAAGAUUACCUGUGAUAACAACAUCAGAUGUCUCCGCUUCAGACCUCCCAGGGAAAGCAUAACAAUGGGUCCCAUCACCUGCCUGUCCGUUGCCCCUACCAUGUUGUGCUGCAGUAGUUCAAACUUGUUCGCCACCUCGGCUGGUUUGGUGACCACCAUUACCUUGACAAACGCGUCCUCCAGAAUGGCGGCCUCACCCAUGACCACCUCUACCUCUAACUAUUGGGGGUCUGUAACUUUGUUUUGGGCAAUACCUCCUAAUAUGUCCCGUCUCCCCACAUCCAUAACACUCUAUGGAUUCAAGCAUAGGUCUCUGUGAGAAUGAUGAAGUCUAGGGGUAACCUCCAAACUCAGAGAAAUGUUGACCGGUCUGCGGUGGACCCCCAGCUACAGCCUGCAGCGAAGACUGAAUAGGUCGGGCUGGGUAACCUCCUGAACCCUUCCCUCUAGAGUAAGAACCAUUAAACUCACCUCCUUUACGAAACUUCUUAAAUGUCGAUGCCAUGUUGAAGUCGUAGGGCUCACUCCCUCCACUUCUAUCACAAAAUCUACCACCUACUGAAAGGAUUUUGCUGCAGUAGCUACCUGUAAGGCUGGAAUCUACAAAUCUGACCUCAAUCCCUUCAAAAAACGGCGAAUCUUCUCUUGUGGACUGAAGCAAAGCUGGGUGGCAUACCUGGAUAAUGCAGGAAACUUAGCCUCAUACGCAAUAACAAACAUCCUGCCUUGAUCUAGGCUCAGGAACUCAUCUCUCCUCCUAUACCUCAAAGUUCGGGGUAUAUACUUCUCCAUAAAUAAGUUAAAGAAUGAUGCCCAAGUCAUGGGUGGUGCCUGUGCUGGUUGACACUCAACAUACGAUCGCCACCAUAUUUUGGCAUUUCCUUAAAACUGAUUGGUUACAAACUCAACACCGAAUCGUUCCACUAUGCCCAUCUUAUGUAGCAGCUUAAGACAAUCAACCAGAAAGUCAUAGGCAUCCUCAGAUUCAGCACCGUUGAAGACUGGAGGUUUCAAUUUUAAGAACUUACUGAAAAGUUUGUGCUGAUCACUUGUCAUUAUAGGCCCUAUAGUCAACCGAGGAAACGUGCCUAUUUCCAAUGAGGCAUCCAUGCGGGGAGCCACUACAGUUGCAUGUUGUAUUCACAGAACCUGAGGUGCUGGUGCAGAACCUGAUUAAUCAUCUCAAGGUAGGUUGGGGUAGUAAUUCCUCAUUCUGCACUUGGUCAUUCUCCCCUUACUCACCCUCUCUGAAUACUUCCUCAGUCGGUGGAGGAGUCACCGCCCUAGUACUAGCUGGGCCAGGUGCUUGUCCUCUUCUUCUUGAGGACGUCCUCCUGCGACCUCUACCACGGCCUUUUGCCACUGCUCCUCUUCGAGCUACAGCCUCAGUGGGUGGUUCAGACGCAUCUUGUCUUGCCGGUGUUGGUUUUGGCCCGGUUGUUGCUCUAGUUCUAACCAUCUGUGAAAUAGAGUGAAGAUGGUCAGAUAUCAAUUUGUAUCACCUAGAUACCAAUUGGAUCCACGUAAUAGCACGAAAGAAAGAAAGAAUGGAAUUUUCCUAAAGUCUUAUAGCCUCUCAAAGAAAAGUAAAGGCUUCCCCCUACCGUUCCUCAAGACUCUACUAGACUCGUUCUUGUAUGAUGAGACCAACGAACCUAAUGCUCUGAUACCAAGUUUGUCACGACCCAAAACGAGCCGCGAGUGGCACCCACACUUAUCCUACUAUGUGAGCGAACAAACCAAUAUAAACCCCAACAUUUCAAUCAGAAUAAACAGAAUAUAAUGCGGAAGACUUAAAACUCAUUAAUAUAACCAAUAAAUAAAUUCUAAAAUUUAAUACUUAUUAUUUCCAAAAUCUGGAAGUGAUCAUCACAAGAACAUUCUAUCCUCAAAUUACUAAAUCUAAGAGUGUCUAGGAAGCUAAAAUAAGAAAACAGAUGGUCCAUGUCCGAACUUCAUGGACAUCAAGACAUGAAUGAGAGAGAAUCCAGUCCGAGCUAGGAACAAUAGCUCACCCUGAAAUCUGAUUAUGCUGAGGUCUGGCUAGAGUUGCGGUUGAGUUGAAGUCGACUGUACGUUUGCUGCACUCCACAAAUAACAAAGAAGAAAAUUACAAGUAGUGGUCAGUACAAGGCACAAGUACCGAGUAGGAUUCAUCGGCCAACUCAAAAUAGAAAGCAACAUAUAUCGAAUAAUAACAUAAAACCAACAAAAUACUUAACAGGUGACAAUAAGAAGUACCAUAACCAUCGGCCACAACCCAAGCACCUCUAUGAGGACUCAAGCCUCCACACCAUACUCACUUAGGAAUUAGGUUCUUUAAAUCUGAGUAUAUUAACAUAAUUCAAGAUUCAUUCCCCUUUCUAUCCUGGUGUCGGAACGUGACACUCUGAUCCCCUCAAUAUUCAUUCAUCUUACUAUCCUGGUGUCGGAUCGUGACACUCCGAUCCCCUACUAUCCUGGUGUCGGAACGUGACACUCCGAUCCCCUCAAUAUCCUGGUGUCAGAACGUGACACUCCAAUCCCCUAAUAUCCUGGUGUCGAAACGUGACACUCCGAUCCCCUACUACUAUGUGUCAGUUCGUGACUCCCGAUCCUUUAAUUCCUGGUGUCGGUACGUGACACCCGAUCCAUUAACCUCAUUAUUUUAUUUCAUCAAGCCUUCUUUUAUAUCAAGGCAUCAUCAUUAAUAGAGAGGUUUUAGGGUUUUUAAGGUUCCACUGUAUCAUCAUUAUAAACCAUCAAUAUUUAAAUAAUCACAGCAUGCAAAAUCAUAAUUAAGCAUAUAGAAGACUUUACAAUACCAUCCAAUACAUAUCAAUCGCUAUUUAGAGUUUACUAUGAAAUAGCAUAAACCAUAACCUACCUCCAUCGAAGAACCAUGAUCAAGCAAUCUACUUCUCCAAUGCUUUGCUUUCCUCUUCGUUUCUUCCUUCUCUCGCUCGUUCUCCCCUCUUUUCUUUCUCCUCUUUCAAAUUCCCUUAUUCAAACUCUUUUUGUUUUACCCUAAUUACCAUAUAAUUAAGUAUAAAAGAUAAUAAAAGUAACCCACUAUUUAUUUCAAAGUUAUCUCCUUUAACCCCCAAGUAAAUAAGUUAUUAACUUUACCCACUAAUUUCAUACAGUUUGACAUAAAUAGUCCUAAACACUCCUUAAAAAUUGUAGCAGAAAUCUGAACCAGGUGUAAUUACGCCACUCGUGAUGCCCGUCGUGCCUGCGACGAUCCGUCCUGCAGGGUCAUCACCGAGUUCAGAGAGUCAAAACAGUAAGGGGUCUUGUGACGGUCCGUCGUGCCUAAGACGGUCCGUGCUGCUCUUCUCUCGGGAAGCUCAGAGAGUUGUUCCCAGUACCCAAAUUUCCAGAGUCUAAUUGUUUUAGAACGAGACCCCCUCAACGGUCCGUCGUGCCCAUGACGGUCUGACGUGGGAUCCGUCGACCCAGACAGCUAUUUCCAGAAAUAAACUCUACUACUCAAAACGACUAAACAGGUCGUUACACACCUGUUAAGUAUUGUAGUUAAAUUUAUAUUAUUAUUCAUUAUAUAUUGAUUUCUAUUUUGAGUUGACCGAUAAUACCUACUCAGUACGUGUUCCUUGUACUGACCCUUACUUGUAUUUUCUUCUCUGUUCUUUUGUGGAGUGUAGAAAGUGUACCAUCGAAUUCGACUCGCCCUCAGCUCUAGCCAGUCUCCAGCACAUCAGAGCUCAAGGUGAGCUAUUAUUUCUAGCUCGUGCUGGAUUCUCUAAUUCACGUCUUGAUGUCUUUGAAUUUCGUACAUGGACCAUCUUUUUUCUUAUUUUGUUUUCUUAAAUAUUCUUACACUUGGUAAAUUGAGGAUAGAUGUCCUUGAUGUGAUGAUUUCCAGAUUUUGGGGAUAAUAAGUGUCAAACUUUAGAAGCUUAUUUAAUUGGUAAUGUUAAUAUGUUUUGGAUCUUCCGCAUUAUUUUUAUUAUUGAUAGUUGAUCUAUUGGUAAAUGUUGGGGUUUAGAUCUGUUGGUUCGCUCACCUAGGAGGUUAAGUAUGGGUACCACUCAUGACUCGUUUUGGGUCCUGACAUUUUCUUAUCUCUCGGAUGUUCAACUAUAAGAUCGAAGACCAAAUGGAAAGUCAAAGAAUCAUACUGCACGCAAUCAGUCCUACAAGGCUCACAUGACUGGAAUGAAGAAGCCAAAGACUUACUGUCACAGCUCCACCAAAGGGGUAUGUAAAAGAGAACCCAACUAUUAUUUACAAACUUUGCUUCUUAUGAUAUUUUUCUAUUGAUAUCAAUCUCUUUUAUAACAUUGGUUGUUGGCUACAUUAGCUCCUAUUACGCUAUAAAUUUAAAAUUUAAGUUGAUGAAGUGUUAAUUUUGAAAUAUGAAAAUUGUGUUUGAACACCAAGGAUGUAGUUUUCCAACAACCAAAAAUAGAACAACGAAGCAUAAUCACCCAGCCAAAAAGAUAAUCCAACAUCAAUAACAAAUCCAAAAGAAGAAAAUAAAAAAACACUUCUGCGUCCAGAUCAAAUUUGGAACUUUGAUUUUGACGAAGAGGAAGAUGACACAAAAAAACCUCAUCUGAAACAUGUAAAAAUCAUACAUGGAGAAUGCUUAAGAGAAAACAGAACAUUGAUGUGCACACAGUGGAAAAGACACGUCAGAAUAAGGAACUGAAAUGACAAAAUUGUUAAGCCAGGACGAAGACACGUAUACAUUAUAGAAAAUGAAAAGGCAAAACUACCCUUGAGAGUAGUGAAAUAGGCAUGUUGAGACAAUAUAUAUAUAUAUAUAUAUAUAUAUAUUGUGUGCGUGUGUGUGUGUGUAUGUAUAUAUACAUAUACAUAUAUACAUAUACAUAUAUAUAUAUAUAUAUAUAUAUAUCCGUAAUACGGGUCCAAUAUAAUUUCACAUAUUUUGUUGAAAAAAUUAGAUAAAUUCACAACUUAAGAUAUUAUAGUGCUCUCUCGGAUGCAUCCCCAUUUUCUCUUGGAUACAUCUAUUUCCUCUCGAAUAUAUAUCUAUUUCUUCUUGAAUAUAUUCCUUACUCGAAGUAAUAUGUCAUUUGCAAUGUAUUGGACAACCAAGGAAUAUAUAUCGAGAGGAAUGAAAAAUUUGAGAUUUUUCUAAUUGAGAAAACUUCUCGGAUAUGAGUUAAAAUAUUUCAUGUUCAAGAAAUAUAUAAAAUGUUGAUUGAAAAUAUUCAUCGGUCUUCAUAUAAAUUCGCAAGUGAUGUCUAUUUUUCACAAUGUUAUUUUCUUCGUUUUGUGAUAUUUGCACCAUAAGCUUUGCAUCUGAUAAAAUACUGAUCAUUGAUCAAUCAAUUCGUAAAGAUUGUUUUAAAGUCUUUCAGAUCUCUAUUACUUCAACUUAAGUAUAAUUUUUUUGUAUUUGACUUUGUCGAUAAAUUUUGUGAUACAUUUUAUUAUUUUUUUUCAUAAAUAGAAAUACUUAAAAAAUUAAUUUCUACCUUCACAACAAUAAAAACAAUCAAUAAAGAAACUUUAUUUCUAUAUAUAAUAACAGUUAUCGUAAUGUUAUAUUCUAAAUAUUGAAAAUAUUUAUCAAAAAAAUAAUUUUUGCCUCCACAAAAUAAAAAAAAUCAUGAAAUAAACUUUAUUCUAUAUACAAAAACUAUUAUCGUAAUGUUAUAUUCUAAAUUACAUUAAUUAUUUUUAUGAUACUACACUUAAAUAUCAUGUUGUAAAGAAAACUCUAAAGCUUUCCCCUACAAAAUAACCAAUAUACUUUUUUCAGAUUUUUUUUUAAUUUAUUUAUUCUUUAGUUUUUUCUUCCUCUAUAUUUCUAAACAAUGUUUUUGUCGUUCACAUUUUCUUUUGUUGUUGUUCUUUAUUUUUAAUUACUCAUUUACUUUAUUUUGAAUUUCAAUAUUCAUUAGGAUUUGAAUAUUAAACUUUGACCUUAUCAAAUUUAUCAUAUUUGAAAUUAAGAAAAUAUAAAAAUAAAAAUUUUAUAUUUUAUAAUUUUUCGAUGAAUAUAUUAUCAAAUUAUGGAUUUCUUGAUAGUCAAACAUUGUUCAUUCUUUUAGUAAUGAAGUUUGAUACUUUGUUCAAAUUAUUUAAAAAACUACUGAUACAUCAUUUAAAGACUAUUUUAAUAAUCAAAAUACGAAUUUAGUGGUUAUUACAUAACAUAAUAUUAAAAAUAUGUUUACGCAAUAUUCCUUUAAAGUGUUUCUAGGAACAAAAUAUUAACUAUUCAAACACAUUUUAUUUUGUUUCUUUCUAAAAUAUGUCAAAACACAUUUAUUAUUGUAUGUAAAAAAUUAAUCAAGUAAUAUAAACUCUUCAUUUAAAACAAAAUUACAAUAAUAUCUUUAUGGGUCCAUCCCAAAAAUUAAGACAUGUAUGGAUUUUUGUAGAUUCUCAUUUUGACCAUUAAUUAUACAAUUAUUAUUUUACCCUUAAGUGAUGUUAAAAUUACUAAAAUGUCAUUGAUCGUCUUUCUCAUGGCUCUUCUAUAUAAUAAAUACUAUAUAUAAUAUGCCCGUGCUAUGCACGGGCCCAACGAAUUUAGCUUCCUUGUAUUAGCGUAGCAUUUAUUCUUACACUUAGUAAAUAUAGAGUAAAUGACAUUUUAUAAAUUUAAACUGGCAAAAUGAUAGAAAUAUCGAGACAAUACAUAAAAAACAUUACUUAAUAUUUAAUUAGAAAAAAAAAAGCUUUUAGCUUAAGUCAAUUUCAAAAAAUUGCUCAUAGGGAGAGAAUUUUUUAUGAUUAUAACAAAAUCAAGUCCAGAUUGAAUAAUCUAUAAAUUUACAAGUUUUAACAAUAUUAGCUAAGUGUAAUAUGAGGCUCAUAGGGAAAAGGAAGUUGGUUAUGGUUAGUUUGAAAAGGGAAAUAUAUGUCAAACCGCAAGGCUCUUCAGUUUGAAUAAAAGUAAGGGCAAAACAUUAAGGUUAUAUCGAGUAUUGAGGUCUCAUAAACUGUGAUCAUCCAUACAACACAACUGUUUUCUAAAAAAACUUGAAAUUUGACAUCUCCAGUAGUUAAUCAAACAUAAUUAACUAUGCAUUGCUCUGUCACAAAAUACCAAUUGACCACAUGUUCUAUGGCUUAUCUUAGUUCUCUUUUAAUAGAAUUAAACAAAAAGUGUAAAGUUCCUAGGUUGUUGUUCUCACAUGCGAUGCAGAAAUUCAUCAGCAUAUGGCUUAUUUUCAAUGUAUCGAGGGUUAAUAUAUUGUUCUCUUACUUCUUUCUUGGGUCCUUGUGAUGUCAUCUCAUUGUAUAUAUCUGCAAAAAAAUAAAACAAUGCAUUACAUAUCCAGGUGAUAAGAAAUCACAUCUUAUAGUAGUUUAUAAUAUCAUUUAGACGUGAGAAACUAUAAAACAUCAUUUAGUAAUUAAAACUAUUUACAUAUAAAAAUUCAAUUUUAUUUUUAAAAAAUUUAACCACAAUUCAUGCCAAAUUGCAAAAAAAUCCUCUUCAUUUAAGAACUUAAAAGUUAAGAUUUCACCAUGUUUUACAAAUAGAUUAAAAAUUAUCAAUUCUAAGACUUUAUAUUCAAACAGGAAUAAUGACUAUGCAUUCUCUUAAUUCUAAGUUGCAAUACUGCUAUAAAUUAGAAAGCACAUGCACUUGAAUUUCUAAACAAAAGAUUUUAAGUGGAUUAAGAAGAUUGUUAUCCAUAGACAAUCUGCAUCCACACGAAAAAUUUGGGAUAAUUAAAUAACACCAAUAAAAGGCCAAGGGAUAACAAAAUAGAAAAGGACAGACGUACUGCGAAGCAUAAACAUAAAAUAAAGUACUCGGUAGACUACUAUCUAAAUUUUUAUGAAAUUUGAAAACACAGGACCCCCUUACUUCAAAUCGUGUUUGUACUUAUCCCAUCACACAGUUGAAUUUUCAAAGAAAACAUUCAUCAUUUACUAUACUAAUUCGAAAGACACCACAUAUAAAUAAUCUUACGAACAUAAGGGUCAAACUAGUAAGAGAAUUUCCAUUUUAGAAAAAUCGUAUAAAUAUUGUUCAAUUAGAUGACACACCCUACCCUUAUCAUUCUCACAAUUCCCUACAAAAGUAACAAAAUAUCAGCCAUACCACGAUUGAAGUAAGGAAUAAAUGUGAGUCUCUAUCUAAGUGAGGAAUACAUGUGAGUCUCUAUAUCACAUUAAAUUCUUAAAAAUAUAUAUUCCUCAACUGCCCCAAAGUUAUUUUUAGGAGAGAAAUUAUGUAAUCAUAGAUACAUAUUUCUCAAAUAUUGAAAAGAAGAUGAGGUUCUUGCUCAGUGAUAAUCAUGGAUUAGCUAUUUAUACCCCAUCCACCAUUUAGUGAAAAUUAACAUGUCAAACUCUUUCUAGUAAAUAGCAGAACAAUUCAAAGGAUGUUACUCAUUAUCUAAAAUAGAAAAUGUGCAAUUCUACAAGGACAAAAGAAUAACAUUGGAUGUAUUAAUACUAUCACAAACACUAAAAAUUCUUCUCAAUAUUUCUCCACUCAACUUGUUUGUCUAACUGGAUCAAUUUUCUUUAAAGAUAUCAAGGACAAGAGUAAGUAUAAUUUUUUCUAAAACAAGUAGUGAUUGUUUGAGUAGUCUAUUAUAUUAGAAGGAGAAAAAAGAAGAUUCAUAAGCGAAGAUAUGAUGAUAUUUUCUACUUCGAAAGUCAUAUUUAUCCCUCAAGAAUCUAUUUCUUAACAAAUUCUAUCUUUAUUAGUUCAAGACUUUUAUGAUUGCUCAUAACAUAGGGAAAAUCAUUUUCACGCAGUAGAAGACUUCAUUCCUUCAUAUAUAACAUGAACCAAAAAAGAAUUGUAGAAAAAAACAAAUAAAAACAUUAAGAUUGACUUCCGAAAGCAUAUACACCGAUCAAUAUGCAGUAUGUACAUACAAAUAGUUACUCCUAGAUCUCCUUUGUAGUUAAAUAACCAAAUUUUAACAGUGAUACAAAAUAAUGAUUACCAUAAUCACCCCAUAAUGAUUAUGUUCGCAAUAUCAAUGGCUUCAACAAAUGUCCCUCAAAAAUAUAGUUUAAUGUCAUCAUCGACAUUAAUAUCUAAAUAUGACAAAUAUAAUGAACCCCUAAACAAGGAUAAUGAGACAAAGUAAAAUAAAAAGAAGAUACCACGAAUAAAAGUACAUUAUUAUUGCUUCUAUCUAGACUAAAGAGUUUAUAGAUAAUAAGCAGCAAAUGAGUUAUGGUGACACCAAAACUUUGAAAAUUAUAGGAGAAUACUGGAAUCUCUUAGGUAUAACAUGCCAAAAGCAUGUGAUCAAUCAUCUGAAUACCAAAUAAGUCAUAGAAUGAAGACGUUGGUUCUUGCGUCAGAUGCUUUCAAAGGGAUGAAUGAGUCGAUGUUCAUUCAAAAGUUGUUUAUAUAAAACAAGGAGAUGAGGUAAUUACAAGGUUGUCAAAGUUAUUAUGCCUAAUUUAGUGUAUGACCAUAAAAAAGUAUCAUAAACUUCACAACUAUUUACGAUAUAUUUAAAAUUCAUCUUAACAUUCUUAUAUUUUGUAGUUAAUAGCGAAAGAUAAUGGAGAGAAUUAAUCAUAAAAACUUUCUUAUUAUAGAGGAGAACAUAAAAAAACAUAUUUGUGGGAUCACAUAAUUUUUUGAGUUAUGUUUUAUUGUGAGAUUAAUGUUGUAAUUUUGCUUUCUUUAAGUCGAAGGCCUAUCAGAAACGAAUUCAUUAUCUAACAAUUGAAAGGUAUAAUUAAUCAUGUGCAAGGUUUAAAUCAGUAGAUUUAGCUUUCUAAAUGUACAUUUAGUUAACUCUAUUGAUCACGUUCAAGAUGCACGUCGGCGUAUAAUUUGUGUACAAUUUUGAUUGCUGGUGACUGAAAAGAAUUAAAACUUAUAUUUUGAAUUUUUCAAGAUACCAAUAUGAGUGACGUACUACUAAACUUGAAGAGUAACCUGUAUAGAGUAUUUUUCAACCUCUUUAUUUGAGCUCUCAAUGUAAUUUUAUCCUCAAUAUACUAAUGUUGUUGGGAUUUUUUUUCAAUCUUUAUAUUUUUGAAGUGGAUUCAUUUAACAAAAAAAAGUAUUUUCUAUCGUUAGAAAACUCCUACUACAUUUAAAUGGUAUGUACAUAUUUCUAUUAUAUAAUAUAAUAUAAAUGUAAAUAUUGCGUGAAAUUGUUCUUUUUUUCUUAAUUAAUGGAUCAUCAAAAGCCAUUCUCAAUUGUUUACUUAUUCCACAUAUAUGCAAAUUUAUAUAUAACAUAUUUCUCAUAAGUUAUUGUGGUCCCAAACUUACAUUCAAAAACCAAGUCAAUUACAUUUGCCAAUGUACCGAGGGAGUUUCAUAGGUAAAAAUCUUACACUGGCUAAAAUUAUAUCGUACUAUAUGUAGUAGAGUUGAAAUUCCUUAUUUUUUAUUAUGUGUGCUUAAAUCUUUAUAUUCUGAAUUCUGUUAAUAAAAAUGGGGAUAAUGCCCAAGUACCCCCUCAACCUAUGCCCGAAAUCUCAGAGACACACUUAUACUAUAUUAAGGUCCUAUUACCCCCUGAACUUAUUUUAUUAAUAAUAUUUUACACCUUUUCGACCUACGUGGCACUAUCCAAGAUGAUUGACUUUUUUUUUUCCAAACUAGUGCCACGUAGGCUAAGAAGGGGUAAAAAAUUACUUAAUAAAUAAGUUUAGGGGUUAAUAGAACCUUAGUAUAGUAUAACUGUGUCUCUGAAAUUUCGGACAUAGGUUGAGGGGGUACUUGUGCAUUUUCCUAUAAAAAUGUUAUAUCUGUUCGAGGGUUGAAGGAUAUUGGAGUAAAACAAACAAACUCAAUUCAAAAUUGAAAGGGCUUUAAUCACUAUAGACCUAAAAGUUGUGUCUCAAUAUCAUAGAAAUUAAUAUAGACAAGGAGUGACAUAGAGAGAAGGACAACUAGAGUAAAGAGUAACUAGAUCCAAACAAAAAUUGAAAUAAUAUUUAACAAAUCGGUACAUUACAUGCAUACCUAUUGAUAAAAUAAAUCAGCUCAAUUUCACAAAUAUGAACUCGAACCGUUACUAAUUUGUUAUUUUCUUAUUAUAUAAACCUUCACAACAACCAUGAAUUUCAGCAAUAAAAUUAGGAAAGAGAAUGAGAUAGAAUAACAAAGAGAUCAAGGACAAAAUUGAGUCGUAAAAUUCAAGUCUAUAAAAAAAAAGGCGAAAGAAUUUUGUAGCAAAAGUUUGAAGAAAAUAUACCUGGAAUUAUGAAGAGUCCAUAUGUUCCUCGUCAUAGUUUUGUAGGAUAACAUACCAGAUGUUUCACUUUUGUGGAGAUGAAGAGAACCAAAGAAUGAAGAUUUAUGAUUUUUAGUGGAUUAAAUAUCUUGCACUGGAUGAUUCUAGAUGUUUGGAGAGAGAUCAUUU